This 497-nucleotide ribosomal RNA is filed under the name uncultured bacterium. RNAcentral's name for it is "partial 16S ribosomal RNA". It matches the Rfam family "Bacterial small subunit ribosomal RNA", at positions 28 to 507 of the family's 1533-position model. The record is from RNAcentral.
GAUGAACGCUGGCGGCGUGCCUAAUACAUGCAAGUCGAGCGAACAGACGAGGAGCUUGCUCCUCUGACGUUAGCGGCGGACGGGUGAGUAACACGUGGAUAACCUACCUAUAAGACUGGGAUAACUUCGGGAAACCGGAGCUAAUACCGGAUAAUAUAUUGAACCGCAUGGUUCAAUAGUGAAAGACGGUUUUGCUGUCACUUAUAGAUGGAUCCGCGCCGCAUUAGCUAGUUGGUAAGGUAACGGCUUACCAAGGCAACGAUGCGUAGCCGACCUGAGAGGGUGAUCGGCCACACUGGAACUGAGACACGGUCCAGACUCCUACGGGAGGCAGCAGUAGGGAAUCUUCCGCAAUGGGCGAAAGCCUGACGGAGCAACGCCGCGUGAAUGAUGAAGGUCUUCGGAUCGUAAAACUCUGUUAUUAGGGAAGAACAAAUGUGUAAGUAACUAUGCACGUCUUGACGGUACCUAAUCAGAAACCCACGGCUAACUACGUG